CUUUAAUGUUUUAAACUUAUCAAGAUGGGUUUUAGAAAGAUUAACCUUUCAGAAAUAUGAAGGAUGGAUUAGGUGCAGAAGCUACUGUAGAAGUCCAAAUAUGUGGUAAGGAAAUUAAACUCCUGGAGGCAAGGGGCCUAAGGCAUCAAUAUAUAUUUUUUUAAAGCUCACAGAUGAUUUUCUUUUUUUCCUGAGGAAGACCUGCCCUGAGCUAACAUUUGCACCAAUCUUCCUCUAUUUUGCAUGUGGGUCACCACCACAGCAUGGCCUCAGACGAAUGAUGUAGGUCCACGCCCAGGAACUGAACCUGGGCCACUGAAGCAGAGUGUGCUCAACUUAACUACUAGGCUGCAGGGCCAGCCCAACUCACAGGUGAUUCUCAUGUGCAGUCAGCUUUUAGAGGAAGAGGUGGGAGAAGACAUUGCAGAAUAAUGAAUGACAAGCAAAUGAAAGAGGUUCCUUCUAUGAGGCUGUGUCUAAGCAUGGUUAGUUCUGGGGUUGUUCUGGUCUAGACAGACUAUAAACACAGGAAAAAGAAGAGGUGCGGCAGGACCUCUUAGAGGAGGGCUGGAAAUGCCCAUUGGUGACCAUCUCCACAUGUUCCCAUUCUCUCACCACUCUAAGUGAUUCUCAUCUUGGGGGACCUGGUCACGGAAAUUCGCCUAACGAGACAAGACGUUUAAUUCGGAAGUUCAAUCGCAAAGGAAAGAACUGUCUUUUGGGAAAUGCUUUCUCCAUUCAAAAGCAGGAGACUAAUUAUAAGAAAACACCUUAGCAGAUUGAACUGAGGCAUUAACAUAUUGGGUUAAUUAGCAUUUACAGCCUGAGGAAGCUCAAAGAAAUUCCAGCUGACCUUUCUGAACUAGGUUAACCAAGCAUAGACUUUAAUCCUAGGAAGUCCAAUUUAAAGGUUGCUCAGAACACACUGUAGACUGAGUGAUCCUCAACCCUAGCCUCUCAUUAGAAUACUUGUUGAGUUGAAUUUAUUUUCUUUUUAAUGCUCAUGCCCUGGCCCUUAUCCCAGAGUUCCUUGAUGAGACAUAUCGGGGGUGGUUCCCAGGUGUCUGUAUUUUUAGAAAGUUCCACAGGUGAUUCCUAUGCUAAUCAGGAUUUAGAAUCAGAGAACUGAACUGGAAUGAAGAAAUCUGGUUCUAACCUAAGUCUUCUAUAACAAGCUACUUUAAUCUUGAGCAAUUCUCUGAAAUCUAUCUGAGCCUCAUUGAGGUUCCUCAUUAAGAAAAGAGGGACAAUAAUGACCAUAACUACCUCCUCCUAUUCCAUGUGAGAGAAAAAACUGACAUUUUAGAUUCUAUAAAAGUGCCCCAACAUGUAUCAUAUAAACACUGAGUUAUUGUUAUCAAAUCCAUUGACCACCUGAUUUUACUCAACAGCUUACCAGCAGUAGACUCACUUGGCCUCU
Molecule: long non-coding RNA, 1420 nt
Filed under: Equus caballus (horse)
Lineage: Eukaryota; Metazoa; Chordata; Mammalia; Perissodactyla; Equidae
Description: lncRNA (ENSECAG00000044192.1)
Source: RNAcentral